GGCCUGUUAGCUCAGUUGGUUAGAGCGCCGUGCUAAUAACGUGGAGGUCAUGAGUUCGAUCCUCUUACAGGCCA
RNAcentral lists this transfer RNA (74 nucleotides) under Daphnia pulex (common water flea). It matches the Rfam family "tRNA". From Rfam's summary of the family: Transfer RNA (tRNA) molecules are approximately 80 nucleotides in length. Their secondary structure includes four short double-helical elements and three loops (D, anti-codon, and T loops). The record is from Rfam by way of RNAcentral. Lineage: Eukaryota; Metazoa; Arthropoda; Branchiopoda; Diplostraca; Daphniidae.